This 366-nucleotide long non-coding RNA is filed under the name Capsicum annuum. RNAcentral describes it as "long non-coding RNA (CANN_LNC015079)". The record is from RNAcentral. Lineage: Eukaryota; Viridiplantae; Streptophyta; Magnoliopsida; Solanales; Solanaceae.
UGGGAUUGGAGUAUGCAACAGUCUACUCCAAUCAUAUUGAUAUAGGAGCCGAAGAAGUAGAUACAAUACCCGAAAGUGCAGAAAAUUCAACUCCCGUGGUUGCUGAAAUUUUACCAACUCUUGCUGAAAGUUCACCAACUGCUGAAACUUUACCAACAGCUUUAGGAGAAACUGAUGCAACAACUCAGUCUCUUCGUCGUGCUUGCAAAAAUCCUGCGUGGAUGAUGAACUAUGAGGUAACAUGAAUUAAUGCAAAUAAUGAUGCGGUUAACAAUUUUACAUUAUUUGCAGACUGUGACCCGAUUAUUUUUUAGAGUGUUGUUAGAGAAGAAAAAUGGAGAAAGGCGAUAGAUGAUGAAAUUGAAG